GUGGCCCCCAGCAGCAGCUGGAAGACCUGCGUUGCCAUACCACCUUUACAUGCAGACCCUCUAGGCACCAGCUCUAGGGCUGGCGAGAUGGCUCAGUGAUGAAAGGUACUUGCCACCAAGCCUGAUGGAUGAGCUGAGUUCCAUUCCUGGGACCCACAUGGUGGAAGCAGAGAACUGACUCCCGAGAGUUGUCCUCUGCCCUCAACAUGCACUCAGUGGGAAACAUGCACCCACACACAUACACAAAAUAAAAAUGAUUUCCUUCAAAGCCUA
Molecule: long non-coding RNA, 273 nt
Organism: Peromyscus eremicus (cactus mouse)
Lineage: Eukaryota; Metazoa; Chordata; Mammalia; Rodentia; Cricetidae
Exons: 2
Source: RefSeq, a predicted model, not a curated record